GGGCCCGCACAAGCGGUGGAGCAUGUGGUUUAAUUCGAUGCAACGCGAAGAACCUUACCUGGUCUUGACAUACACAGAAUCUUGUAGAGAUACGAGAGUGCCUUCGGGAAUUGUGAUACAGGUGCUGCAUGGCUGUCGUCAGCUCGUGUCGUGAGAUGUUGGGUUAAGUCCCGCAACGAGCGCAACCCACGUCUUUAGUUGCCAGCGAUUCGGUCGGGAACUAUAAGGGGACUGCCGGUGAUAAACCGGAGGAAGGUGAGGACGACGUCAAGUCAUCAUGGCCCUUACGAGUAGGGCUACACACGUGCUACAAUGGGGAAUACAGACGGACGCUAAGCCGCGAGGUGGUGCUAAUCCUAGAAAGUUUCUCGUAGUCCGGAUUGGAGUCUGCAACUCGACUCCAUGAAGUCGGAAUCGCUAGUAAUCG
This 427-nucleotide ribosomal RNA is filed under the name uncultured bacterium. RNAcentral describes it as "bacterial SSU rRNA". It matches the Rfam family "Bacterial small subunit ribosomal RNA", at positions 917 to 1344 of the family's 1533-position model. The record is from RNAcentral.